UGGGGAAUAUUGCACAAUGGGCGCAAGCCUGAUGCAGCCAUGCCGCGUGUAUGAAGAAGACCUUCGGGUUGUAAAGUACUUUCAGCGGGGAGGAAGGUGUUGUGGUUAAUAACCACAGCAAUUGACGUUACCCGCAGAAGAAGCACCGGCUAACUCCGUG
RNAcentral lists this ribosomal RNA (160 nucleotides) under uncultured bacterium. RNAcentral describes it as "partial 16S ribosomal RNA". It matches the Rfam family "Bacterial small subunit ribosomal RNA", at positions 355 to 507 of the family's 1533-position model. The record is from RNAcentral.